Molecule: ribosomal RNA, 207 nt
Filed under: uncultured bacterium
Lineage: Bacteria
Description: partial 16S ribosomal RNA
Rfam family: Bacterial small subunit ribosomal RNA
Source: RNAcentral
UGCGUAGGUGGGUAAGUAAGUCCGUGGUGAAAUCUCUGAGCUUAACUCAGAAACUGCCGUGGAUACUAUUUGUCUUGAAUAUUGUGGAGGUGAGCGGAAUAUGUCAUGUAGCGGUGAAAUGCUUAGAUAUGACAUAGAACACCAAUUGCGAAGGCAGCUCACUACACAGUAAUUGACGCUGAGGCACGAAAGCGUGGGGAUCAAACA